UCCUACGGGGCGCAGCAGUGCGGAAUAUUGGUCAAUGGUCGGGAGACUGAACCAGCCAAGCCGCGUGAGGGAUGAAGGUACAGAGUAUCGUAAACCUCUUUUGUCAGGGAACAAAGGCGGGGACGUGUCCCCGGAUGAGUGUACCUGAAGAAAAAGCAUCGGCUAACUCCGUGCCAGCAGCCGCGGUAAUACGGAGGAUGCGAGCGUUAUCCGGAUUUAUUGGGUUUAAAGGGUGCGCAGGCGGUCUGUUAAGUCAGCGGUCAAAGCCCGGGGCUCAACCCCGGCCCGCCGUUUAAACUGGCAGG
This 305-nucleotide ribosomal RNA is filed under the name uncultured bacterium. Its description in RNAcentral is "bacterial SSU rRNA". It matches the Rfam family "Bacterial small subunit ribosomal RNA", at positions 337 to 640 of the family's 1533-position model. The record is from RNAcentral.